ACAAAUUUCACACUCGUCUUUGAGGAGGUGUUGCCGAAAGCAACAUGCAUGGCCUUUUGGCUACGCUGUUGACAACGCUGGCGCCUCCUCAUAUACAUAGACAACAUUCACUUUUAUACUUGACACAUGAUGGAGAACCAAUUUGGUUAAAUGAAAAA
Molecule: unclassified non-coding RNA, 158 nt
Filed under: uncultured fungus
Lineage: Eukaryota; Fungi
Description: sequence contains ITS1, 5.8S rRNA gene
Source: RNAcentral